Ochotona princeps (American pika) is the source of this 111-nucleotide small nuclear RNA. The record is from Ensembl. NCBI's taxonomy places the organism in Eukaryota, Metazoa, Chordata, Mammalia, Lagomorpha, Ochotonidae.
GUGCUUGCUCCGGCAGCACAUAUGCUAAAAAAUUGGAACAAUACAAAGAGGAUCAGCAUGGCCUCUGUUCAAGGAUGACACACAAAUUCUUGUGUGAAGCAUCCAUAUUUC